This is a long non-coding RNA of Wasmannia auropunctata (little fire ant), 315 nucleotides long. RefSeq lists it as uncharacterized. The transcript is spliced from 2 exons. The record is from RefSeq and is a predicted model, not a curated record. NCBI's taxonomy places the organism in Eukaryota, Metazoa, Arthropoda, Insecta, Hymenoptera, Formicidae.
GUUCGUAUCGAAAUUCAAUUUGUUUACAUUUGUCUAUGGACGACCUUGCUCGAGCUCGGAUUAAUUCAGCCGGCAGAAUUGCUUGAAAUUUCUAAAAGAUGCAGAGUUUCAAUCCCAUGAAAUGGAAAACGAGAUCUAUCUUGCAUGGCAUUCGUAGGCACUUUUUAUUAUCAUUUAAUUUAAACAUACAAGAAAAUAACGUGCUUCGUUUUAUUAAUAAAAAAAAAAGAAUUUCGCGAGCUAGAGAAGUGCAUCGUGCGUAGCAUCCCGCGCAGUGGUGCCCCUAAUUUUCUCUCCUGUUGCCAAUCGCGAACU